This is a non-coding RNA of Endogone sp. FLAS-F59071, 72 nucleotides long. Lineage: Eukaryota; Fungi; Mucoromycota; Endogonomycetes; Endogonales; Endogonaceae. The record is from the annotation of a GenBank genome assembly.
GGGGUUGUGGUGUAGUGGUAUCACGUUCGUUUCGCAUACGAAAGGCCUCCGGUUCGAACCCGGACAGCUCCA